This 253-nucleotide ribosomal RNA is filed under the name uncultured bacterium. RNAcentral's name for it is "partial 16S ribosomal RNA". It matches the Rfam family "Bacterial small subunit ribosomal RNA", at positions 524 to 776 of the family's 1533-position model. The record is from RNAcentral.
UACGUAGGUGGCAAGCGUUGUCCGGAUUUACUGGGUGUAAAGGGUGCGUAGGCGGGACGGUAAGUUGGAUGUGAAAUACCCGCGCUCAACGUGGGGGCUGCAUUCAAAACUAUCGUUCUUGAGUGAAGUAGAGGCAGGCGGAAUUCCCGGUGUAGCGGUGAAAUGCGUAGAGAUCGGGAGGAACACCAGUGGCGAAGGCGGCCUGCUGGGCGUUUACUGACGCUGAGGCACGAAAGCAUGGGUAGCAAACAGG